This 229-nucleotide long non-coding RNA is filed under the name Sorghum bicolor (sorghum). RNAcentral describes it as "long non-coding RNA (SBIC_LNC011551)". Lineage: Eukaryota; Viridiplantae; Streptophyta; Magnoliopsida; Poales; Poaceae. The record is from RNAcentral.
GCUGCGCGGCGUGCGCUCAACGAAGAGGGCGACGGCGUGGACAGCAAUGGCGCCCGGCAAGUGCGCAGGGGCCGGGGCUAGCUGCGCGGCGUGCGCUCAACGAAGAGGGCGACGGCGUGGACAGCGAUGGCGCCCCGGAGCCUCGCGCGGGGAGCUGCGGACCUGGGCGUCGCCAACGAUAAGGGCGUGCUUGGCGGGCUGGCGGCGGGCGCGGCGGCGAGCGUGCUCG